UCCGUAGGUGAACCUGCGGAAGGAUCAUUCGCACAUUCUACAAUAAUAUUCUUGUGAAUUCUUUUGUGAAGUCUGUGUGAGGAUGUACAUUCGGGAUCUUCGUGCAGGUGUUCGCGGGUGGUGUGUCGGACGGGAUGAAUUGCAUACCUGUUCUUCUCCACUGCCACUGCAUACCGCAAAUCAGAUUGAUGCAGCCUACCGUCAAUGGUAAUUGUCAUGUGCAGCUCACAACUUUCAGCGAUGGAUGUCUCGGUUCGAACAACGAUGAAGGGCGCAGCGAAGUGCGAUAAGCAUUGUGAAUUGCAGAAUUCCGUGAACCGACAGGGACUUGAACGCAUAUUGUGCUUUUGGGAUAUCCCUAAAAGCAUGCCUGCUUCAGUGUCUAUUCUCUGUUGCUUCAGUGGCUGUCGCUUUCAAGCAUGCUGCUGAGAGAGUUUGUGCCUCAAGAUGUGCUUUUUAUUUGUAUUAGUGCUUCUGAGGCAUGCGAUUGACAAGGCUCUAUUGUGACGGUCAGAUUACUAAGGCAUCAGUUGUGUGCAGAUAUUCAUGCUCGUCGCAAUGUGGGACUUUUAUUCGCGAUCUGGCUAUGCCAGAUGUUAAGACAUGAAGUUAGGUUGGCAAACCCGCUGAAUUUAAGCAUAUCAAU
Molecule: ribosomal RNA, 646 nt
Filed under: uncultured eukaryote
Lineage: Eukaryota
Description: eukaryotic LSU rRNA
Rfam family: 5.8S ribosomal RNA (bases 230-384)
Source: RNAcentral